RNAcentral lists this ribosomal RNA (253 nucleotides) under uncultured bacterium. RNAcentral's name for it is "partial 16S ribosomal RNA". It matches the Rfam family "Bacterial small subunit ribosomal RNA", at positions 524 to 776 of the family's 1533-position model. The record is from RNAcentral.
UACAGAGGAUGCAAGCGUUAUCCGGAAUGAUUGGGCGUAAAGCGUCUGUAGGUGGCUUUUUAAGUCCGCCGUCAAAUCCCAGGGCUCAACUCUGGACAGGCGGUGGAUACUGCAGGGCUAGAGUCCGGAAGAGGCGAGUGGAAUUCCUGGUGUAGCGGUGAAAUGCGCAGAUAUCAGGAGGAACACCGAUGGCGAAGGCAGCUCGCUGGGACGGUACUGACGCUGAGGCGCGAAAGCAUGGGGAUCAAACAGG